UACGUAGGGUGCAAGCGUUAAUCGGAAUUACUGGGCGUAAAGCGUGCGCAGGCGGUGAUGUAAGACAGUUGUGAAAUCCCCGGGCUCAACCUGGGAACUGCAUUGAGGACUGUAAGGCUAGAGUGUAGCAGAGGGGGGUAGAAUUCCACGUGUAGCAGUGAAAUGCGUAGAGAUGUGGAGGAAUACCGAUGGCGAAGGCAGCCCCCUGGGUUAACACUGACGCUCAUGCACGAAAGCGUGGGGAGCAAACAGG
Molecule: ribosomal RNA, 253 nt
Filed under: uncultured bacterium
Lineage: Bacteria
Description: partial 16S ribosomal RNA
Rfam family: Bacterial small subunit ribosomal RNA
Source: RNAcentral